This is a non-coding RNA of Parelaphostrongylus tenuis, 73 nucleotides long. Lineage: Eukaryota; Metazoa; Nematoda; Chromadorea; Rhabditida; Metastrongylidae. The record is from the annotation of a GenBank genome assembly.
GCCUUGGUGGUGUAGUGGUAGAGCAUACGUCUCUAGAUAGGACGAAACGCGGGUUCAAUUCCCGUCUGAGGCC